GAGCAACCUGCCCCUGACUCUGGGAUAAGCGCUGGAAACGGCGUCUAAUACUGGAUACGAACCACGAAGGCAUCUUCAGUGGUUGGAAAGAAUUUCGGUUGGGGAUGGGCUCGCGGCCUAUCAGCUUGUUGGUGAGGUAAUGGCUCACCAAGGCGUCGACGGGUAGCCGGCCUGAGAGGGUGACCGGCCACACUGGGACUGAGACACGGCCCAGACUCCUACGGGAGGCAGCAGUGGGGAAUAUUGCACAAUGGGCGCAAGCCUGAUGCAGCAACGCCGCGUGAGGGAUGACGGCCUUCGGGUUGUAAACCUCUUUUAGCAGGGAAGAAGCGAAAGUGACGGUACCUGCAGAAAAAGCGCCGGCUAACUACGUGCCAGCAGCCGCGGUAAUACGUAGGGCGCAAGCGUUAUCCGGAAUUAUUGGGCGUAAAGAGCUCGUAGGCGGUUUGUCGCGUCUGCUGUGAAAUCCGGAGGCUCAACCUCCGGCCUGCAGUGGGUACGGGCAGACUAGAGUGCGGUAGGGGAGAUUGGAAUUCCUGGU
RNAcentral lists this ribosomal RNA (541 nucleotides) under uncultured bacterium. RNAcentral's name for it is "bacterial SSU rRNA". It matches the Rfam family "Bacterial small subunit ribosomal RNA", at positions 119 to 674 of the family's 1533-position model. The record is from RNAcentral.